AACGAGCAAUUUUACUCUCUCAAGGGGAUGCCCUGCAACUGCCUGUCUCUCCUGGUUAACCUGGUGGGAAGCGC
This is a non-coding RNA of Plasmodium vivax (malaria parasite P. vivax), 74 nucleotides long. The record is from the annotation of a RefSeq genome assembly. Lineage: Eukaryota; Apicomplexa; Aconoidasida; Haemosporida; Plasmodiidae.